Molecule: non-coding RNA, 108 nt
Filed under: uncultured Phascolarctobacterium sp.
Lineage: Bacteria; Bacillati; Bacillota; Negativicutes; Acidaminococcales; Acidaminococcaceae
Description: SAM riboswitch (S box leader)
Rfam family: SAM riboswitch aptamer (S box leader)
About the family: The SAM riboswitch is found upstream of a number of genes which code for proteins involved in methionine or cysteine biosynthesis in Gram-positive bacteria. The SAM riboswitch acts at the level of transcription termination control. The predicted structure consists of a complex stem-loop region followed by a single stem loop terminator region.
Source: RNAcentral
CUCAUCAAGAGCGGUGGAGGGAAUGGCCCUGUGAAACCGCAGCAACCAUUGCAGAGUGAUGUCUGUAAACGGUGCUAAGUCCAACAGCACUUUAGCUGUAAGAUGAGA